UUCACCCAAGGCCUGCAGUGUACUUUGAUUUUUUUGGAGUGUACUUACAAACAGUCCUUGAUCACCACUAAAACCAACAGUGUUCUUCACCCUUCGGAGUGGACUUCAGAAUAGCCCUACAUUUUCACCCAAGCUUAUGGUGUUAUACGAUCCUUUGGACUAGACUUGGGAAUACUUAAUUAGGUCUACAUCUUCUGCAGCUGUCCUCUGACAGAGAUUUUCACAUUGAUUAUUGAAAAGUAGACUUUUAAAACAUUGAAGACAUCUAUACCAGGCUAGCAUCAUGUCUAAUAAAAAGCGAACAAAUAGUUCAAAGCCAGGAAUAAUGUUCUACUUUCACCACCAACCAAAGAAAGGAAAAACUGACAUUCCACUUCAAACACAGAACUUAGCACUGGACAAUGAAAUAGUAACUAUUGACUGUGAGGAAGUUGUUGCUGAGACAUCAGCUGAAUCACACGAUAAGUCUACAGAUGAAAAGCAAUAUCCAGCUGUGUGGUCAAAAGAACAAUUUGACGAAUUCAAAAAGAAACAUGAGUGGCUAUUUGCGUCUAGGGGAAAACUCGGCUGUACAAUCUGUGCAGAAGUUUCUAACUUAAAGAUUCACGCUGCUCGAGGCAUAAAUAUUGCUUC
Long non-coding RNA from Pseudophryne corroboree (corroboree frog), 633 nucleotides. RefSeq lists it as uncharacterized. Lineage: Eukaryota; Metazoa; Chordata; Amphibia; Anura; Myobatrachidae. The record is from RefSeq and is a predicted model, not a curated record. The transcript has 4 exons.